CGCAAGCCUGAUCCAGCCAUGCCGCGUGCAGGAAGAAGGCCUUCGGGUUGUAAACUGCUUUUGUACGGAACGAAAAAGCCCUGGUUAAUACCUAGGGCUGAUGACGGUACCGUAAGAAUAAGCACCGGCUAACUACGUGCCAGCAGCCGCGGUAAUACGUAGGGUGCGAGCGUUAAUCGGAAUUACUGGGCGUAAAGCGUGCGCAGGCGGUUUUGUAAGACAGAGGUGAAAUCCCCGGGCUCAACCUGGGAACUGCCUUUGUGACUGCAAAGCUGGAGUGCGGCAGAGGGGGAUGGAAUUCCGCGUGUAGCAGUGAAAUGCGUAGAUAUGCGGAGGAACACCGAUGGCGAAGGCAAUCCCCUGGGCCUGCACUGACGCUCAUGCACGAAAGCGUGGGGAGCAAACAGGAUUAGAUACCCUGGUAGUCCACGCCCUAAACGAUGUCAACUGGUUGUUGGGUCUUAGCUGACUCAGUAACGAAGCCAACGCGUGAAGUUGACCGCCU
RNAcentral lists this ribosomal RNA (505 nucleotides) under uncultured Allobrachymonas sp. RNAcentral describes it as "bacterial SSU rRNA". It matches the Rfam family "Bacterial small subunit ribosomal RNA", at positions 376 to 874 of the family's 1533-position model. Lineage: Bacteria; Pseudomonadati; Pseudomonadota; Betaproteobacteria; Burkholderiales; Comamonadaceae. The record is from RNAcentral.